AGAGUUUGAUCCUGGUCAGAACGAACGGGCGGCGUGGAUAAGACAUGCAAGUCGAACGCUGAUUUCAGGGUAGCAAUAUUCGGAGGAGUGGCGCAAGGGUGCGUAACACGUGGGUAAUUUGCCGUGAAGCCCGGAAUAACUCGCUGAAAGGCGAGCUAAUACGGAUGUGAUUUUUGGAGGGCAUCCUCUGGAACUCAAAGCUGGGGACCGUAAGGCCUGGCACUUCUCGAUAAGCCCGCGGCCUAUCAGCUAGUUGGUGAGGUAAUGGCUCACCAAGGCUAAGACGGGUAGCUGGUCUGAGAGGACGACCAGCCACACUGGAACUGAGACACGGUCCAGACACCUACGGGUGGCAGCAGUCGAGAAUUUUUCACAAUGGGCGAAAGCCUGAUGGAGCGACGCCGCGUGGGGGAUGAAUGGCUUCGGCCCGUAAACCCCUGUCAUUUGCGAACAAACCUUUUCAUUUAAAAGAUGAUGAGCUGAUUGUAGCGAAAGAGGAAGGGACGGCUAACUCUGUGCCAGCAGCCGCGGUAAUACAGAGGUCCCAAGCGUUGUUCGGAUUCACUGGGCGUAAAGGGUGCGUAGGUGGCCGGUUAAGUCUGACGUGAAAUCUCCGAGCCUAACUCGGAAACUGCGUCGGAAACUAUCCGGCUCGAGGGUUGGAGGGGGGACUGGAAUACUUGGUGUAGCAGUGAAAUGCGUAGAUAUCAAGUGGAACACCAGUGGCGAAGGCGAGUCCCUGGACAACUCCUGACACUGAGGCACGAAAGCUAGGGGAGCAAACAGGAUUAGAUACCCUGGUAGUC
This 806-nucleotide ribosomal RNA is filed under the name uncultured bacterium. RNAcentral's name for it is "bacterial SSU rRNA". It matches the Rfam family "Bacterial small subunit ribosomal RNA", at positions 8 to 795 of the family's 1533-position model. The record is from RNAcentral.